CCAUCCCAGUUCGGAUUGUAGGCUGCAACCCGCCCUGCAUGAAGUUGGAAUUGCUAGUAAUCGCGGAUCAGCAUGCCGCGGUGAAUACGUUCCCGGGGAUUGUACACACCGCCCGUCACACCAUGAGAGUCGGGAACACCCAAAGUCCGUAGUCUAACCGCAAGGAGGGCGCGGCCUAAGGUGGGUUCGAUAAUUGGGGUGAAGUCGUAACAAGGUACC
This 219-nucleotide ribosomal RNA is filed under the name uncultured bacterium. RNAcentral describes it as "partial 16S ribosomal RNA". It matches the Rfam family "Bacterial small subunit ribosomal RNA", at positions 1283 to 1500 of the family's 1533-position model. The record is from RNAcentral.